This 21-nucleotide non-coding RNA is filed under the name Caenorhabditis elegans. The record is from RNAcentral. Lineage: Eukaryota; Metazoa; Nematoda; Chromadorea; Rhabditida; Rhabditidae.
UGUGACUCAAUUGUGACUCAA